AGAGUUUGAUCCUGGCUCAGAUUGAACGCUGGCGGCAUGCCUUACACAUGCAAGUCGAACGGUAACAGGCCGCAAGGUGCUGACGAGUGGCGAACGGGUGAGUAAUGCAUCGGAACGUGCCCAGUAGUGGGGGAUAGCCCGGCGAAAGCCGGAUUAAUACCGCAUACGACCUACGGGUGAAAGCGGGGGACCGAAAGGCCUCGCGCUAUUGGAGCGGCCGAUGCCAGAUUAGGUAGUUGGUGGGGUAAAGGCCUACCAAGCCUACGAUCUGUAGCUGGUCUGAGAGGACGACCAGCCACACUGGGACUGAGACACGGCCCAGACUCCUACGGGAGGCAGCAGUGGGGAAUUUUGGACAAUGGGCGCAAGCCUGAUCCAGCCAUGCCGCGUGCGGGAAGAAGGCCUUCGGGUUGUAAACCGCUUUUGUCAGGGAAGAAAUCUUCUGGGUUAAUACCUCGGGAGGAUGACGGUACCUGAAGAAUAAGCACCGGCUAACUACGUGCCAGCAGCCGCGGUAAU
RNAcentral lists this ribosomal RNA (519 nucleotides) under uncultured bacterium. RNAcentral's name for it is "bacterial SSU rRNA". It matches the Rfam family "Bacterial small subunit ribosomal RNA", at positions 8 to 524 of the family's 1533-position model. The record is from RNAcentral.